AUUGAACGCUGGCGGCAUGCUUUACACAUGCAAGUCGAACGGUAACAGGCCGCAAGGUGCUGUCGAGUGGCGAACGGGUGAGUAAUGCAUCGGAACGUGCCCAGUCGUGGGGGAUAACUACUCGAAAGAGUAGCUAAUACCGCAUACGAUCUAUGGAUGAAAGCGGGGGACCGUAAGGCCUCGCGCGAUUGGAGCGGCCGAUGUCAGAUUAGGUAGUUGGUGGGGUAAAGGCUCACCAAGCCAACGAUCUGUAGCUGGUCUGAGAGGACGAACAGCCACACUGGGACUGAGACACGGCCCAGACUCCUACGGGAGGCAGCAGUGGGGAAUUUUGGACAAUGGGCGCAAGCCUGAUCCAGCAAUGCCGCGUGCAGGAAGAAGGCCUUCGGGUUGUAAACUGCUUUUGUACGGAACGAAACGGCUCUGGUUAAUACCCGGGGCUAAUGACGGUACCGUAAGAAUAAGCACCGGCUAACUACGUG
RNAcentral lists this ribosomal RNA (482 nucleotides) under uncultured bacterium. RNAcentral's name for it is "partial 16S ribosomal RNA". It matches the Rfam family "Bacterial small subunit ribosomal RNA", at positions 30 to 507 of the family's 1533-position model. The record is from RNAcentral.